This 334-nucleotide unclassified non-coding RNA is filed under the name soil metagenome. RNAcentral's name for it is "partial contains 5.8S ribosomal RNA, internal transcribed spacer 2, and large subunit ribosomal RNA". The stretch from base 1 to 120 matches the Rfam family "5.8S ribosomal RNA", at positions 35 to 154 of the family's 154-position model. The record is from RNAcentral.
GAUGAAGAACGCAGCGAAAUGCGAUAAGUAGUGUGAAUUGCAGAAUUCAGUGAAUCAUCGAAUCUUUGAACGCACAUUGCGCCCCUUGGUAUUCCAUGGGGCAUGCCUGUUCGAGCGUCAUUUGUACCUUCAAGCUUUGCUUGGUGUUGGGUGUUUGUCCAUUCUCUUGCAGAGGGACUCGCCUUAAAGUAAUUGGCAGCCAGUGUUUUGGUUUUGAAGCGCAGCACAAGUCGCGAUUCAACGCUAUACGCCAGCUUCCACAAGCCUUUUUCACUUUUGACCUCGGAUCAGGUAGGGAUACCCGCUGAACUUAAGCAUAUCAAUCAGCGGAGGA